RNAcentral lists this small RNA (199 nucleotides) under Marmota monax (woodchuck). Lineage: Eukaryota; Metazoa; Chordata; Mammalia; Rodentia; Sciuridae. The record is from RNAcentral.
GCUGGGCGUGGUGUUUUGCACGCCUGUAAUCCCUGCGGCUCGGGAGGCUGAGAUGGGAGGAUAGCAAGUUCAAAGCCAGCCUCAGCAAUGGUGAGGCACUAAGCAACUCAGUUGAGACCCUGUCUCUAAAUAAAAUAUAAAAUAGAGCUGGGGAUGUGGCUCAGUUGCUGAGUGCCUCUGAGUUUAAUCCCUAGUUCUU